CACAACAAUGGCAGCUCCCAUGGAAGCACACAUCGUAAAUGUCUGCUGCCGGACGUCCACCCAGCCACUGCAGAGCUGUUCAUGAGCUUCUAAGGAUUCAUCAUAUUUAAACUCGUGCAAAGUGAACGCACUCAGUUACAAAACAAGCUCAUUUACAACGUCCAGCUGUGUGAGUGGGCUGCCCAGUCAUUUGGAUCUACAUUGUUUAUCGUUUUUAGUUGGUCCAAAUACCGUUUCUGUGCAUUGUAUUUGUCCGGGUUCUCCUUUUCUUUCUCUUCUCCUUCAGAUUUUACAAACUAAAAAACUUUUAAGUAACCGGCAGGCUCACAGGUAAACAGACGCGGUGCACCUUCACCAUCUCAGGACAACAUCGCCCCUCUGCGGAGGACACCUGUACUCCUACCUGCAGAAAUGCUCGUGUUGUGUUUACGGUCUCCUUCUUUUGUCACGUGCCUGGCCGCGUUUAAAGACGAUACUGUUCGCAGCAGCUUUCACCUAAUGAUAAGAACAUCCGGUGGUGAUUAUUAUUAUUAUUAUUAUGGUAAUGAGAGUUAAAUAAUACACUAAUUUGACUCACUGGAUUCAAAAUAUCUCAUAGUAAUAUUAUUUUUGUUACUGUUGUUGUUGGUAGUAUGAUUUAUAUUGCUCUUGUAAAAAUUAAUUUCUAUAUUAUUUGUAGUAUUAAAAAUGCAUAACUUCUUAGAUAUAUAUUUUUGCAGGUGCGCAUGUGCGCAAUACUACGUACAUUGUCACUAGCAGUGGUGGGGGGGCAGUAUUCCAAUUCUAUUUUCACUUUUUGUUUGUUAU
Long non-coding RNA from Micropterus dolomieu (smallmouth bass), 807 nucleotides. RefSeq lists it as uncharacterized. The transcript has 3 exons. NCBI's taxonomy places the organism in Eukaryota, Metazoa, Chordata, Actinopteri, Centrarchiformes, Centrarchidae. The record is from RefSeq and is a predicted model, not a curated record.